CAAUUGCGAAGGCAGCUUUCUGGAUCAUUACUGACACUGAGGAACGAAAGCAUGGGUAGCGAAGAGGAUUAGAUACCCUCGUAGUCCAUGCCGUAAACGAUGUGUGUUAGACGUUGGAAAUUUAUUUUCAGUGUCGCAGGGAAACCGAUAAACACACCGCCUGGGGAGUACGACCGCAAGGUUAAAACUCAAAUGAAUUGACGGGGACCCGCACAAGUAGUGGAGCAUGUGGUUUAAUUCGAAGAUACGCGCAGAACCUUACCAACACUUGACAUGUUCGUCGCGACUCUAAGAGAUUAGAGUUUUCGGUUCGGCCGGACGAAACACGGGUGCUGCAUGGCUGUCGUCAGCUCGUGUCGUGAGAUGUUGGGUUAAGUCCCGCAACGAGCGCAACCCUCACUUUUAGUUGCCAUCAUUAAGUUGGGCACUCUGAAAGAACUGCCAGUGAUAAGCUGGAGGAAGGUGGGGAUGACGUCAAGUCCUCAUGGCCCUUACGUGUUGGGCUACACACGUGCUACAAUGGCAUCUACAACAGGAAGCAAAACGGCAACGUUAAGCAAAUCCCGAAAAGAUGCCUCAGUUCGGAUUGCACUCUGCAACUCGAGUGCAUGAAGCUGGAAUUACUAGUAAUCGUGGAUCAGCGUGCCACGGUGAAUGCGUUCCCGGGUCUUGUACACACCGCCCGUCACACCAUGGGAGUUGGUUCUACCUUAAGGCAAGGUUUUAAACCCUUGACCACGGUAUAGUCAGCGACUGGGGUGAAGUCGUAACAAGGUAGCCGUA
RNAcentral lists this ribosomal RNA (783 nucleotides) under uncultured bacterium. RNAcentral describes it as "bacterial SSU rRNA". It matches the Rfam family "Bacterial small subunit ribosomal RNA", at positions 708 to 1504 of the family's 1533-position model. The record is from RNAcentral.